GUCUACGGCCACAUCACGUUGAAAACACCGGUUCCCGUCCGAUCACCGAAGUUAAGCAACGUCGGGCCCGGUCAGUACUUGGACCGUCUGGGAACACUGGGUGCUG
This 106-nucleotide ribosomal RNA is filed under the name Pollicipes pollicipes. Lineage: Eukaryota; Metazoa; Arthropoda; Thecostraca; Pollicipedomorpha; Pollicipedidae. The record is from RNAcentral.